GGGUUGUGAGGUUAAGCGACUAAGCGUACACGGUGGAUGCCCUGGCAGUCAGAGGCGAUGAAGGACGUGCUAAUCUGCGAAAAGCGUCGGUAAGGUGAUAUGAACCGUUAUAGCCGGCGAUGUCCGAAUGGGGAAACCCAGUGCAAUUCGUUGCACUAUCGUUAACUGAAUACAUAGGUUAACGAGGCGAACCGGGGGAACUGAAACAUCUAAGUACCCCGAGGAAAAGAAAUCAACCGAGAUUCCCCCAGUAGCGGCGAGCGAACGGGGAGCAGCCCAGAGUCUGAAUCAGCUUGUGUGUUAGUGGAACGGUCUGGAAAGUCCGACGGUACAGGGUGAUAGUCCCGUACACCAAAAUGCACAGGUUGUGAACUCGAAGAGUAGGGCGGGACACGUGGUAUCCUGUCUGAAUAUGGGGGGACCAUCCUCCAAGGCUAAAUACUCCUGACUGACCGAUAGUGAACCAGUACCGUGAGGGAAAGGCGAAAAGAACCCCGGCGAGGGGAGUGAAAAAGAACCUGAAACCGUGUACGUACAAGCAGUGGGAGCACCUUCGGGUGUGACUGCGUACCUUUUGUAUAAUGGGUCAGCGACUUAUAUUCUGUAGCAAGGUUAACCGUAUAGGGGAGCCGCAGGGAAACCGAGUCUUAACUGGGCGUUAAGUUGCAGGGUAUAGACCCGAAACCCGGUGAUCUAGCCAUGGGCAGGUUGAAGGUUGGGUAACACUAACUGGAGGACCGAACCGACUAAUGUUGAAAAAUUAGCGGAUGACUUGUGGCUGGGGGUGAAAGGCCAAUCAAACCGGGAGAUAGCUGGUUCUCCCCGAAAGCUAUUUAGGUAGCGCCUCGUGAACUCAUCUUCGGGGGUAGAGCACUGUUUCGGCUAGGGGGUCAUCCCGACUUACCAACCCGAUGCAAACUACGAAUACCGAAGAAUGUUAUCACGGGAGACACACGGCGGGUGCUAACGUCCGUCGUGAAGAGGGAAACAACCCAGACCGCCAGCUAAGGUCCCAAAGUCAUGGUUAAGUGGGAAACGAUGUGGGAAGGCACAGACAGCCAGGAUGUUGGCUUAGAAGCAGCCAUCAUUUAAAGAAAGCGUAAUAGCUCACUGGUCGAGUCGGCCUGCGCGGAAGAUGUAACGGGGCUAAACCAUGCACCGAAGCUGCGGCAGCGACACGAUGUGUUGUUGGGUAGGGGAGCGUUCUGUAAGCCUGCGAAGGUGACCUGUGAGGGUUGCUGGAGGUAUCAGAAGUGCGAAUGCUGACAUAAGUAACGAUAAAGCGGGUGAAAAGCCCGCUCGCCGGAAGACCAAGGGUUCCUGUCCAACGUUAAUCGGGGCAGGGUGAGUCGACCCCUAAGGCGAGGCCGAAAGGCGUAGUCGAUGGGAAACAGGUUAAUAUUCCUGUACUUGGUGUUACUGCGAAGGGGGGACGGAGAAGGCUAUGUUAGCCGGGCGACGGUUGUCCCGGUUUAAGCAUGUAGGCUGGUUAUCCAGGCAAAUCCGGAUAAUCAAGGCUGAGGUGUGAUGACGAGGCACUACGGUGCUGAAGUAACAAAUGCCCUGCUUCCAGGAAAAGCCUCUAAGCAUCAGGUAACAUCAAAUCGUACCCCAAACCGACACAGGUGGUCAGGUAGAGAAUACCAAGGCGCUUGAGAGAACUCGGGUGAAGGAACUAGGCAAAAUGGUGCCGUAACUUCGGGAGAAGGCACGCUGGUGUGUAGGUGAAGUCCCUGCGGAUGGAGCUGAGACCAGUCGAAGAUACCAGCUGGCUGCAACUGUUUAUUAAAAACACAGCACUGUGCAAACACGAAAGUGGACGUAUACGGUGUGACGCCUGCCCGGUGCCGGAAGGUUAAUUGAUGGGGUUAUCCGUAAGGAGAAGCUCUUGAUCGAAGCCCCGGUAAACGGCGGCCGUAACUAUAACGGUCCUAAGGUAGCGAAAUUCCUUGUCGGGUAAGUUCCGACCUGCACGAAUGGCGUAAUGAUGGCCAGGCUGUCUCCACCCGAGACUCAGUGAAAUUGAACUCGCUGUGAAGAUGCAGUGUACCCGCGGCAAGACGGAAAGACCCCGUGAACCUUUACUAUAGCUUGACACUGAACAUUGAGCCUUGAUGUGUAGGAUAGGUGGGAGGCUUUGAAGCGUGGACGCCAGUCUGCGUGGAGCCAACCUUGAAAUACCACCCUUUAAUGUUUGAUGUUCUAACGUUGGCCCCUUACCGGGGUUGCGGACAGUGUCUGGUGGGUAGUUUGACUGGGGCGGUCUCCUCCCAAAGCGUAACGGAGGAGCACGAAGGUUAGCUAAUCCUGGUCGGACAUCAGGAGGUUAGUGCAAUGGCAUAAGCUAGCUUGACUGCGAGCGUGACGGCGCGAGCAGGUGCGAAAGCAGGUCAUAGUGAUCCGGUGGUUCUGAAUGGAAGGGCCAUCGCUCAACGGAUAAAAGGUACUCCGGGGAUAACAGGCUGAUACCGCCCAAGAGUUCAUAUCGACGGCGGUGUUUGGCACCUCGAUGUCGGCUCAUCACAUCCUGGGGCUGAAGUAGGUCCCAAGGGUAUGGCUGUUCGCCAUUUAAAGUGGUACGCGAGCUGGGUUUAGAACGUCGUGAGACAGUUCGGUCCCUAUCUGCCGUGGGCGCUGGAGAAUUGAGGGGGGCUGCUCCUAGUACGAGAGGACCGGAGUGGACGCAUCACUGGUGUUCGGGUUGUCAUGCCAAUGGCACUGCCCGGUAGCUAAAUGCGGAAGAGAUAAGUGCUGAAAGCAUCUAAGCACGAAACUUGCCCCGAGAUGAGUUCUCCCUGAGACUUUAAGUCUCCUGAAGGAACGUUAAAGACGAUGACGUUGAUAGGCCGGGUGUGUAAGCGCAGCGAUGCGUUGAGCUAACCGGUACUAAUGAACCGUGAGGCUUAACCUUACAACGCCGAAG
RNAcentral lists this ribosomal RNA (2923 nucleotides) under Klebsiella quasipneumoniae. RNAcentral describes it as "23S ribosomal RNA". It matches the Rfam family "Bacterial large subunit ribosomal RNA". Lineage: Bacteria; Pseudomonadati; Pseudomonadota; Gammaproteobacteria; Enterobacterales; Enterobacteriaceae. The record is from RNAcentral.